UACGUAGGGGGCAAGCGUUGUCCGGAUUUAUUGGGCGUAAAGAGCGUGUAGGCGGCCAUGCAGGUCCGUUGUGAAAACUCGAGGCUCAACCUCGAGACGCCGAUGGAAACCGCAUGGCUAGAGUCCGGAAGAGGAGAGUGGAAUUCCUGGUGUAGCGGUGAAAUGCGCAGAUAUCAGGAAGAACACCCGUGGCUAAGGCGGCUCUCUAGUACGGUACUGACGCUGAGACGCGAAAGCCAGGGGAGCGAACGGG
RNAcentral lists this ribosomal RNA (253 nucleotides) under uncultured bacterium. RNAcentral describes it as "partial 16S ribosomal RNA". It matches the Rfam family "Bacterial small subunit ribosomal RNA", at positions 524 to 776 of the family's 1533-position model. The record is from RNAcentral.